Molecule: ribosomal RNA, 460 nt
Filed under: uncultured bacterium
Lineage: Bacteria
Description: partial 16S ribosomal RNA
Rfam family: Bacterial small subunit ribosomal RNA
Source: RNAcentral
CCUACGGGAGGCAGCAGUGAGGAAUAUUGGUCAAUGGACGAGAGUCUGAACCAGCCAAGUAGCGUGAAGGAUGACUGCCCUAUGGGUUGUAAACUUCUUUUAUAUGGGAAUAAAAUGUUCCACGUGUGGGAUUUUGUAUGUACCAUAUGAAUAAGGAUCGGCUAACUCCGUGCCAGCAGCCGCGGUAAUACGGAGGAUCCGAGCGUUAUCCGGAUUUAUUGGGUUUAACGGGAGCGUAGGUGGAUUGUUAAGUCAGUUGUGAAAGUUUGCGGCUCAACCGUAAAAUUGCAGUUGAAACUGGCAGUCUUGAGUACAGUAGAGGUGGGCGGAAUUCGUGGUGGAGCGGUGAAAUGCUUAGAUAUCACGAAGAACUCCGAUUGCGAAGGCAGUUCACUGGACUGCAACUGACACUGAGGCUCGAAAGUGUGGGUAUCAAACAGGAUUAGAUACCCCAGUAGUC